RNAcentral lists this small RNA (212 nucleotides) under Streptomyces kanasensis. RNAcentral describes it as "c-di-AMP sequence". It matches the Rfam family "c-di-AMP riboswitch aptamer (ydaO/yuaA leader)". Rfam says of the family: This family represents a conserved RNA structure found upstream of the ydaO and yuaA genes in Bacillus subtilis and related genes in other bacteria. The ydaO/yuaA element is thought to act as a genetic "off" switch for the ydaO and yuaA genes in its native state. Lineage: Bacteria; Bacillati; Actinomycetota; Actinomycetes; Kitasatosporales; Streptomycetaceae. The record is from RNAcentral.
UCCGGACGGACGCCGAGUCCUGCCGCCGUCCGGACGCCUGGUCGACACCAGUGGAUCGGCAGGAGUGGAGGACCCGAGCAGUACGGGGAGGCCACCGCACGCGGUGCGGAUACCGGUCCCCCCUUGGGGUGAAGCCGCGUCAGCGGCCGGGCAUCUUCGUCCUGUCCGAACCCGACAGGCAAUCCUUCACAGGCGGGUUGACGAAGGGUACU